AAUAAACUCAUGGAGUUUUCCAUACUCUGGAUUCAGCUAACUGUAUCCCUGUGGUGGUGUUUAAUGUUUCUCUGCCCUGUAUAUUUCCUAUAAACUGGUAGUAAGAUCUAGAAACUUGCCCAGAUUCAGGUUAAUUUCUUUGCAAGAAACACUUCAUAGGUGAAGUUCUGGCCUUCUAUUAAGAGGCUCCUAGUAUCUGGUAGUCUCUGUGAUAUUAGCAGUGACGAAAAUCAGUGAGUUCAUCAGGGCUUCUCAAAUCUCAAUAAUCUAGUUCUGUCGUUCCUUCUUCAUUUCUUAGCUGGAAUAUUUCUAUACAGAGAAACUUAACUACCUUGAGAUAGAGUUUGUAUGGGAAAAGCAAGAUAAAUGCUUGAUUUUUUCCUUUUAUUUAUCGGGGUUAUUUUUUCCUUUUAUUUUCAAAAUAGUGAGCUAAUUUCUCUAAAGAUAAAUUAAUAAGGUUUUAAAAAUAAGAUUUUAAACUCAUGGGUUUAAUUGAUUAUUUCUAUUAUUUGCAGUUAUCCAUUUUGGUGCUCAAAUGGUCCCAUUUUUGGUAAAUGGGAGCCUCUGUAUAUGGAGUUCCUGGGCCAGGGGUCAGAUCCAAGCUGCAGCUUCGACCUAUGCCAUAGCAUCAACGCGGGAUCCUUAACACACUGUACCAGGCCUGGGGAUGAAAUCUGUGUCCCAGCACUGCAGAGACUCUACCAAUCCCAUUGUACCACAUCAAAAACUCUUCUUUUAGUCAUUUUUGAUACCAUUGCUUUUUUUUUUUUUUUUUUUUUUUUUUUGGCUUUUGAGGGCUGCAUCUGUGGUAUAUGGAGGUUCCUAGCUAAGGGUUGAAUUGGAGCUGCAGCUGCCUGCCUGCCUACACCACCGUCACAGCAAUUCAGGAUCCAAGCCAUGUCUGACCUACACCACAGCUCAUGGCAACACUGUAUGCUUAACCCUAACCCAAACAAGGCCAGGGAUUGAGCUUGCAUCCUCGUGGAUACUAGUUGGGUUCGUUACCGCUGAGCCACAAUGGGAACUCCUGCAUUGGUCUUCGAUAGUGUCCCUGCUACUGGUAGAAUUAGAUGGUCCUGGCUUAUAUUAGACUUCUAUCGCUUCAGACCCAGAGUUAGCUAUUUCUUCAAGCAACCCUUGUUCUGAUCAAUGGGAGUCUGUAUUUGGAUGUGACAUCCUGGGUACUGGAGCACUGUGUUUUCACACUUUAUCCAUGUUGCAGUGGGCAAUUUUUUCCAGUCUGCCUUCUCUAAGUGCUGUGCUGCACUCCACAGUGUGUAUUUUCUACGUGGUGCAAACCCAUUUCUCCAGUGAUGGAGCCCAAGCUGGCUGCCUUCUCCCUGCUUCCACAAACAGCACAACGAGGAGCUUCCUUGAACAUGUCCUCUUACCGAUCUGUGUGAGAAUCUUUUUUAAGGUCAGUGUUAUUAACCCUAUUUUAUUGGGAAGGCCACCAAGCAGCUAGGAAUGGGGAAGAAGAUGGGGAAGGAGGGAAAAAGGAGGGUGCAGAAAGGAGAGAUGGGAUACAGGACAGAGGCAGAGUGGGGGCGCUAGAGACUAGGUUUCCCCUGUGUGUCUCCAGCAGAGGCUGCUCAUUCUGCUGAGGUUCUAUUGUUGUAGGUCCUGGAGGAAGGUUGGCAGGGGGUGGAUCAGCAUCCUCCUAGCACCUCAGGGCUUCCCCACCUUUCUUCAUGAACCAAGAACUCCCAGGAUACUAUAGCACAUGCCGUGGGAAUAGCUCAAGCUCUGCUGCUGCACUUGUUGUCUACACUGUGGUUUCUUCUGCACAUACACUGAGGGCUUUGGAAGGUGACUCUGAGUCUUCUCCAUGUCACCACUAGUCACCAUCCUGGUCAAAUUUGUCUUUCAUGUGGAUGACCUAUUCUGUAUGAGAGCCUCUCAACAGCUUGGUUUCCUUUAUAGCAACACUCUUUACUCUUUUCCACCUCAGAGAUCUGUUCCCAAGGCCACACCAUGAAAGAGUCCAGCAAGAGCCAAGGCUUGUUGGCUAGAGAGAAGGCUGUUUUGGCUACAGCCCAGGGUGUAGUGCCCAAAGUGCAAGAUAUGUUCCCAGAGUUAAUCAGGGCCCCUCACUCAGAGCUUUGUAGGUCAUAUUAGAGAUUUUGGCCUCUAUUCUAAGAGAAAUUAAAGGUACUGAAAGGUUUUUGUUUGUUUGUUUGUUUUUUCUUUUUAGGGCCACACUUGUGGCAUAUGGAGGUUCCCAGGCUAGGGGUCUAAUCAUAGCUGUAGCUGCCAACCUGUGCCAGAGCCACAGCAACGCAGGAUCCGAGACGCGUCUGCGACCUACAUCACAGCUCACGGCAACGCCAGAUCAUUAACCCACUGAGCAAGGGCAGGGAUCGAACCUGCAACCUCAUGGUUCCUAGUCGGAUUCAUUAACCACUGCGCCACGACGGGAACUCUCUGAAAGGUUUUUAAAUGUGGCAGAGAGUGUGGCAUGCGUUGGUGAAGGUGGUGUGAUCAGAUUUGCAUAUUGAAAAGAUCUCCAUGGGUACCGUGGAGAGAAUGGACCAGAAAAGAAUAGACACAGGAUAACUGAUGAGGAGGCUUUUGCUAGGAUUGGGUGAGAAGUCAGGUGGCUUGGAGCAGGGAAGAGACAGAUUGGAAGCUUUGGGGGAUCUUUAGGCAUGAGAUCUUCAGCACCUGCUGCUGGUUUGGAAAUGGAAGGAAAAAGAGAGGAGGCAGUCAAGGGUGAGUCCCAGGUUUGUAGCUUGCCUUACUGGGCAGCAGGUAGGGCCAUUCCCUGGGCAGGGGACCAUGGGAAGAGGGCCAGGCUGGAAGGUGGGUGGCGAUGGAGUGGAAUGUUCAUGGGUGAAUGGGGAUUGCAAACAUUGUCUUGGAUAUUUUGAGUAGGAGAAGGUUUGGAACCAGCCAGUGAAGAUUUGAGUGUGAGGGGGGUGGGUGGCUGCACUGGUCUGGAGCUCAGAAGAGGCACCUGGACUGAAGAAGUUGGGCAUCAUUAGUGUGUAGGUGGAAAUUAGGCUGCUGUGUGGCUGAGAUGGUCCAACAAAAGAUUCAGAUGAGCAGAGAAGAGGGUCUGGGCCCAGCCUUGAGGAUACCAGUGUUUAGUGGUUAUGUGGAGGAGAAUGAAUGUGCAAAGGAGACAGAGGGAGCCACCUGAGGCAGGGGAGAAGCAGAGAACGCAGUGUCCCUCACAGAGGCCACAGGAAGAAUGGAUUUCAAGAAGGCCAUCUCCUUCUGCUGUGUGAGAGAGGACAGGAAA
Molecule: long non-coding RNA, 3244 nt
Filed under: Sus scrofa (pig)
Lineage: Eukaryota; Metazoa; Chordata; Mammalia; Artiodactyla; Suidae
Description: lncRNA (ENSSSCG00045007247.1)
Source: RNAcentral